CAGCAGCGGUAAUACGUAGGGUGCGAGCGUUAAUCGGAAUUACUGGGCGUAAAGCGUGCGCAGGCGGUUUUGUAAGACAGGCGUGAAAUCCCCGGGCUCAACCUGGGAAUGGCGCUUGUGACUGCAAAGCUAGAGUGCGGCAGAGGGGGAUGGAAUUCCGCGUGUAGCAGUGAAAUGCGUAGAUAUGCGGAGGAACACCGAUGGCGAAGGCAAUCCCCUGGGCCUGCACUGACGCUCAUGCACGAAAGCGUGGGGAGCAAACAGGAUUAGAUACCCCCGUAGUCCCUGUCUCUUAUACACC
Molecule: ribosomal RNA, 301 nt
Filed under: uncultured bacterium
Lineage: Bacteria
Description: partial 16S ribosomal RNA
Rfam family: Bacterial small subunit ribosomal RNA
Source: RNAcentral